This 506-nucleotide ribosomal RNA is filed under the name uncultured bacterium. RNAcentral's name for it is "partial 16S ribosomal RNA". It matches the Rfam family "Bacterial small subunit ribosomal RNA", at positions 28 to 523 of the family's 1533-position model. The record is from RNAcentral.
GAUGAACGCUAGCUACAGGCUUAACACAUGCAAGUCGAGGGGUAACGAGAGGAAAGCUUGCUUUCCUUGUCGACGACCGGCGCACGGGUGAGUAACGCGUAUCCAACCUGCCCCCAACUAGGGAAUAACCUUGCGAAAGUAAGACUAAUACCCUAUAAUUUCCUCAGAUGUCAUCUGACGAGGAAUAAAGAUUUAUCGGUUGUGGAUGGGGAUGCGUCUGAUUAGCUUGUUGGCGGGGUAACGGCCCACCAAGGCAACUGUCAGUAGGGGUUCUGAGAGGAAGGUCCCCCACAUUGGAACUGAGACACGGUCCAAACUCCUACGGGAGGCAGCAGUGAAGGAUAUUGGUCAAUGGGCGGAAGCCUGAACCAGCCAAGUAGCGUGCAGGAUGACGGCCCUAUGGGUUGUAAACUGCUUUUAUACAGGAAUAAAGUUAGCCACGUGUGGUUAUUUGUAGGUACUGUAUGAAUAAGGACCGGCUAAUUCCGUGCCAGCCGCCGCCGUAA